GGGGAACCUGGCCUGCCAGGCUUGCCUGGGCCCCCCGGACCAAAGGGAGAAGCUGGUGAUGUUGGCCUGCCUGGCACUGCAGGAUCGCGGGGGGAAAAGGGGGAACCUGGUGCACCUGGAGAGCGGGGACCCAUGGGCCCACGGGGCCCCAAAGGAGAGCCUGGAAAGGAUGAAAUAAUGGACUAUGAUGGCAACAUCAGUGAAGCUCUGCAGGAAAUACGAACUUUGGCCUUGAUGGGACCCCCAGGACUCCCAGGUGUGGCUGGGCCUCCAGGGCCACCAGGACAGAAGGUAUUUGCUCAGCUCAGCACUUGAAUAUACAAGGGGGAAGUAGGAG
Molecule: long non-coding RNA, 337 nt
Filed under: Apteryx owenii (little spotted kiwi)
Lineage: Eukaryota; Metazoa; Chordata; Aves; Apterygiformes; Apterygidae
Description: lncRNA (ENSAOWG00000017704.1)
Source: RNAcentral